GCAUAUUAAUCAGCGGAAGAA
Molecule: ribosomal RNA, 21 nt
Filed under: uncultured Tulasnella
Lineage: Eukaryota; Fungi; Basidiomycota; Agaricomycetes; Cantharellales; Tulasnellaceae
Description: partial 28S ribosomal RNA
Source: RNAcentral